GCCCCCCGCCCUCCCCCCGCGGAGGGUGACGGACGGGAGCUGCCUCACCGCAGCCUCCGCCGCCGCCUCAGCCGCUGCCGCUUCGCCGCCGGCAGCUCCGGCACCGCCGCGUCCCCGCCGCCCCACCUCUCCACCCUUUCCCCCCCUCCCCUCUCCCCGCUGUCCUCCGCGGCCGGCCCCGUCUCGUCGCCCCGGCUCCUUUUUCUCAGCGGACGCCCGGGCUCGGCCAUGGCGGACUUUGACGAGAUCUACGAGGAAGAGGAGGACGAGGAACGGGCGCUGGAAGAGCAGCUCCUGAAGUACUCUCCCGACCCGGUGGUGGUUCGCGGCUCCGGCCAUGUCACCGUGUUUGGACUAAGCAACAAAUUUGAAGCAGAAUUUCCUUCCUCUUUAACCGGAAAGGUUGCACCUGAAGAAUUCAAAGCCAGCAUUAGCAGAGUUAACAGUUGUCUUAAGAAGAACCUUCCAGUUAACGUACGAUGGCUACUAUGUGGAUGCCUUUGCUGCUGCUGCACUUUAGGUUGUAGUAUGUGGCCAGUUAUCUGCCUCAGUAAAAGAACACGAAGAUCGAUUGAGAAGUUAUUAGAAUGGGAAAACAAUAGGUUAUACCACAAGCUGUGCUUGCAUUGGAGACUAAGCAAAAGGAAAUGUGAAACGAAUAACAUGAUGGAAUAUAUUAUCUGGGAGGUGCAUAGAUCUGGCUGAAAUGAAUAGAAGUAAACACCAGAAUUUGGAUGAUUUCUUUUAUUGCCCUGGGAAGUAGGCAACAGGAGGAGCUGUUAAAGUUGAGCCUGUCAUCCUCAUAGAAUUUUUACCAAAGACACCAAUUUUUCGACCAGAUUAGCAUUUGCUUUAUUUCCAGAGACUUACUUUAAAAGUAUUGUUGUCUUUCCAAUGGUGCCUUGCUUGGUGCUCUCCUGGUGGUAACAUAGCAUUGGUUCUACAGAAUCUUGUGGUGUUUUCAUGCCUUCUUCUUUUGGUUUUUUUUCUUUUCUGGUUGGUUUGUGGGGUUGGUUUUGUUUGUUUGCAUCUGUUGUUUGUUUUGAAACAAAGAGCAUGUUCCAAGUGCUUUUGGUCAGACCCUGCAAAAGUCAUUUCACACCAAUGUUAACUUCUGCUUAAGUUAUUGUUACUUUUACUACUUCUGUUCAUGUUUCUCGUUUAUUUCCAAGUCUUUUCCUGAUGUGUGUGUAUGUGUACAGAUAUAUGACUAUAAAUACACAGCUGAAAAUGGUCUACAA
Pogoniulus pusillus (Red-fronted tinkerbird) is the source of this 1241-nucleotide RNA transcript. It is a transcript of the gene named cysteine rich hydrophobic domain 2, with no coding region annotated. The transcript has 7 exons. The record is from RefSeq and is a predicted model, not a curated record. NCBI's taxonomy places the organism in Eukaryota, Metazoa, Chordata, Aves, Piciformes, Lybiidae.